AUACGGAGGGUGCAAGCGUUAAUCGGAAUUACUGGGCGUAAAGCGCGCGUAGGCGGAUAUGUAAGUCUCAUGUGAAAGCCCUGGGCUCAACCUGGGAACUGCAUGGGAUACUGGGUAUCUAGAAUACAGUAGAGGGUAGUGGAAUUUCAGGUGUAGCGGUGAAAUGCGUAGAGAUCUGAAGGAACAUCAGUGGCGAAGGCGACUACCUGGACUGAUAUUGACGCUGAGGUGCGAAAGCGUGGGGAGCAAACGGGAUUAGAAACCCUAGUAGUCC
This 274-nucleotide ribosomal RNA is filed under the name uncultured bacterium. RNAcentral describes it as "partial 16S ribosomal RNA". It matches the Rfam family "Bacterial small subunit ribosomal RNA", at positions 523 to 796 of the family's 1533-position model. The record is from RNAcentral.